Molecule: ribosomal RNA, 440 nt
Filed under: uncultured Oomycota
Lineage: Eukaryota; Oomycota
Description: LSU rRNA
Rfam family: Eukaryotic large subunit ribosomal RNA
Source: RNAcentral
AGCAUAGCGAUUUGGGAUAAGUCCCUUGGAAAAGGGCAGCACAGAGGGUGAUACUCCCGUCUUUGCUCAGAUUGUCUAUGUGUACGAUACGCUUUCUUUGAGUCGAGUUGUUUGGGAGUACAGCUCAAAGUAGGUGGUAAAUUCCAUCUAAAGCUAAAUAUUGGUGCGAGACCGAUAGCGAACAAGUACCGUGAGGGAAAGAUGAAAAGAACUUUGAAAAGAGAGUUAAAGAGUACCUGAAACUGUUGAAAGGGAACCGUAACAUGUCCAGUGUUGUAUCUUGUGCAUAUUUCAUUAGUGGAGCAAUUUACUGGUGCCCUGUGCAUGAGUGUGACGUCAAAGUCAGUUUGUAUGCUGCGGGAGAUGGUUAGCAAGGAGGUGCGUCACUUUGUGUCAGUUAUACCUUGUUAUCUAGUAGCCGUGGUUGAGACUGAGGUGCC